UGCAGGGUUCCUACAUUCAAAGGCAUGGCUCUUGACGGGCUGCCUCCUAAGGGAUUAGUCUCGAGGGGCUAUCUCCUAUAGGAUUAUCCUCCCGGGUCGUAAUAAUAAGCACCGCCUAACUACGUGCCAACAGCCGCGGUAAUACGUACGGUGCAAGCGUUAAUCGGAAUUACUGGGCGUAAAUCUUGCCCAGGCGGUUUUGUAAAACAGUCUUGAAAUCCCCGUGCUCAACCUGGGAAUUGCGAUUGUGACUGCAAAGCUGGACUGCGGCACAGGGGGAUGGAAUUCCGCGUGUACAGUGAAAUGCGUAAUAUGCUGAGGAACACCGAUGGCGAACGCAAUCCCCUGGGCCUGCACUGACGCUCAUGCACUAAAGCGUGGGGACCAAACAGGAUUAGAUACCCUGGUAGUCCACGCCCUACACGAUGUCAACUGGUUGUUGCGUCUCUUCUGACUCAAUAACGAAACUAACUCUUAAUUUGACCGCCUUGGAGUACGGCCGUAAGGUUAAAACUCAAA
RNAcentral lists this ribosomal RNA (519 nucleotides) under uncultured prokaryote. Its description in RNAcentral is "bacterial SSU rRNA". It matches the Rfam family "Bacterial small subunit ribosomal RNA", at positions 323 to 905 of the family's 1533-position model. The record is from RNAcentral.